This 423-nucleotide ribosomal RNA is filed under the name Triticum aestivum (bread wheat). Its description in RNAcentral is "partial small subunit ribosomal RNA". Lineage: Eukaryota; Viridiplantae; Streptophyta; Magnoliopsida; Poales; Poaceae. The record is from RNAcentral.
AUGCCUGGAGGCAGGACUGCCCACUCGAGGUUCAAGAUCCCAUUGAGCUGCGACGAUGGCGCCUCAUGCACCUUCACGAAACAGAGUGGUACCGCCAAGCUACUGAGGAUGGCCUCAUUGAUACUAUGGGACGAGGCCACCAUGACUAAGCGACAGGCGGUCGAGGCACUUGACAACAGCAUGCGCGACAUCAUGGGAAGACGGGACCGACCCUUUGGAGGAAAAACUGUUGUGUUUGGCGGGGACUUCAGGCAGGUGCUUCCGGUCGUCAGGAGGGGGUCCCGGGGUCAGAUAAUCGAUGCAACCCUUCGAAGUUCACACCUCUGGAAGGGUAUGCGCCAGCUAAGGCUCGUCACCAACAUGAGGGCUCAUAAUGACACCUGGUUUGCGGAUUACUUGCUAAGGGUAGGCAAUGGCACUUAG